UACGUAGGGCGCAAGCGUUGUCCGGAAUUAUUGGGCGUAAAGAGCUCGUAGGCGGUCUGUCGCGUCUGGUGUGAAAAUCCAGGGCUUAACCCUGGACCUGCAUCGGGUACGGGCAGACUAGAGUGCGGUAGGGGAGAUCGGAAUUCCUGGUGUAGCGGUGAAAUGCGCAGAUAUCAGGAGGAACACCGGUGGCGAAGGCGGAUCUCUGGGCCGUAACUGACGCUGAGGAGCGAAAGCAUGGGGAGCGAACAGG
Molecule: ribosomal RNA, 253 nt
Filed under: uncultured bacterium
Lineage: Bacteria
Description: partial 16S ribosomal RNA
Rfam family: Bacterial small subunit ribosomal RNA
Source: RNAcentral